AGAGUUUGAUCCUGGCUCAGGAUGAACGCUAGCUACAGGCUUAACACAUGCAAGUCGAGGGGCAGCAUGGUCUUAGCUUGCUAAGGCCGAUGGCGACCGGCGCACGGGUGAGUAACACGUAUCCAACCUGCCGUCUACUCUUGGACAGCCUUCUGAAAGGAAGAUUAAUACAAGAUGGCAUCAUGAGUCCGCAUGUUCACAUGAUUAAAGGUAUUCCGGUAGACGAUGGGGAUGCGUUCCAUUAGAUAGUAGGCGGGGUAACGGCCCACCUAGUCUUCGAUGGAUAGGGGUUCUGAGAGGAAGGUCCCCCACAUUGGAACUGAGACACGGUCCAAACUCCUACGGGAGGCAGCAGUGAGGAAUAUUGGUCAAUGGGCGAGAGCCUGAACCAGCCAAGUAGCGUGAAGGAUGACUGCCCUAUGGGUUGUAAACUUCUUUUAUAAAGGAAUAAAGUCGGGUAUGGAUACCCGUUUGCACGUACUUUAUGAAUAAGGAUCGGCUAACUCCGUGCCAGCAGCCGCGGUAAUACGGAGGAUCCGAGCGUUAUCCGGAUUUAUUGGGUUUAAAGGGAGCGUAGAUGGAUGUUUAAGUCAGUUGUGAAAGUUUGCGGCUCAACCGUAAAAUUGCAGUUGAUACUGGAUAUCUUGAGUGCAGUUGAGGCAGGCGGAAUUCGUGGUGUGGCGGUGAAAUGCUUAGAUAUCACGAAGAACUCCGAUUGCGAAGGCAGCCUGCUAAGCUGCAACUGACAUUGAGGCUCGAAAGUGUGGGUAUCAAACAGGAUUAGAUACCCUGGUAGUCCACACGGUAAACGAU
This 813-nucleotide ribosomal RNA is filed under the name uncultured bacterium. RNAcentral's name for it is "bacterial SSU rRNA". It matches the Rfam family "Bacterial small subunit ribosomal RNA", at positions 8 to 810 of the family's 1533-position model. The record is from RNAcentral.